GAGCGUAGACUAUAAGGCACAGCUGCAGAGAGCAAUGGAGCUUGUAGAAAACCAAGUUUUAGCGUGAAAAAAAAUUGCUUAAUCUUCGAACACGUUUAGCACAAAACGUAAGCAAUGGAGCGUCGUCUCUGCGUUCUUCUGACCUGCUUACUUGCCUGCCUAAUUUUGGUAGAAGGGAGAGGUAAAGGAGGAUGUUCCAAGAAACCGAGAGGUGGAAAUUGCGCAGGCCACCACAAAACGUGGUAUUAUGAUGUGAAAACCAAGACUUGCAGAGCUGAAUUAUUAGGAGCAUGUCCCGGGGCAAAGAUGCUAAAUAGUUAUUCGACAUGCGAAGAAUGCCUGCAGAGAUGCAGACGUGGCCUCAAGGUUGACCAAGUUAAGAAGACCUGCAUACUUCAUGCAUAAACUGCAAGAAGGUUAUCCAAAAUGCAUGAAGCAACCUCGCCUUCAUAUAAACCUACUUUGCAGUAGACGCAAGAAUAAUGGUAAAAUAAAAGAAGAAGCAACCGUGUUACUGCUUGGAUUCAAUAGGCACGU
Long non-coding RNA from Dermacentor silvarum, 537 nucleotides. RefSeq lists it as uncharacterized. NCBI's taxonomy places the organism in Eukaryota, Metazoa, Arthropoda, Arachnida, Ixodida, Ixodidae. The transcript is spliced from 3 exons. The record is from RefSeq and is a predicted model, not a curated record.